Molecule: ribosomal RNA, 433 nt
Filed under: uncultured bacterium
Lineage: Bacteria
Description: partial 16S ribosomal RNA
Rfam family: Bacterial small subunit ribosomal RNA
Source: RNAcentral
AACGAACGCUGGCGGCAUGCCUAACACAUGCAAGUCGAACGAUUGCCUUCGGGUGAUAGUGGCGCACGGGUGCGUAACGCGUGGGAAUCUGCCCUUAGGUUCGGAAUAACAGCUGGAAACGGCUGCUAAUACCGGAUGAUAUCGCGAGAUCAAAGAUUUAUCGCCUGAGGAUGAGCCCGCGUUGGAUUAGGUAGUUGGUGGGGUAAAGGCCUACCAAGCCGACGAUCCAUAGCUGGUCUGAGAGGAUGAUCAGCCACACUGGGACUGAGACACGGCCCAGACUCCUACGGGAGGCAGCAGUGGGGAAUAUUGGACAAGGGGCGCAAGCCUGAUCCAGCAAUGCCGCGUGAGUGAUGAAGGCCCUAGGGUUGUAAAGCUCUUUUACCCGGGAAGAUAAUGACUGUACCGGGGGAAUAAGCCCCGGCGAACUCCG